UCUUCUUAUAAAGACGCUAGUCAUUGGGUUAGGGCCCACUGUAAUCCAGGAUGGCCUCAUUAAUUUGAUUACACCUGCAAAGACCCUAUUUACAAAUGAGGUCAUAUUCAGAGAUACUAGGAGUCAGAAAUUUAACAUAUCUUUUUGGGGAUACAAUUCAACAAUUUUAAUGCUUGCUGUAGCUUUAAAUGGAAGGGGUUUCAAAGUUCUUAGGAGUCCUUGUUUUUGUCUUCCCAGGUAUCUCUUGUUUUCUCUAAGACCUCCUCUUAAAUAGAAACUGACCCUUGCAGCUCUUUCAGCUGUUAUCCAUUGUUAAUACGCUUGAGCCCUGGUGAUGCAGUGGGAAGAAGUGGGAGAGGAAAAACCUUCUAUGAUAUUAUGAUUACGUUUUAGUGUUUUAGUAAGUCUUUGUCUCUGGACUGCAACCUUCACAAGUGUUUCUUCAUCCUCUCCUGUCUUAUACUUGAAAAAGGAAGACUAGAAGAAGCUGGAGCCUGGGACAUGCCUUUCCACCAGCUGAUAUAAGGCUCUUUUUGCCAGAAGGGCUUUGUUAUAAAGAACACUCCCAGCAUAUUUCAAAAUGGCUACUUUCCUCUUUUCCUGCCAGAGGGAUGAGAAUAAAAUUUUUCUCUUGAUCGCAGCUUCAGGUCAUGCCUAAGAGUUCCAGCUUGUCUUUCCUGAUGAUCUGCCCUAGAGAUCUCAGACUUGCGUAGACAGACCACACAAUUAUCUUAGCCAGACCCAGCCCUGCAGUUGCCUUGAAAACCAGCAGCCAGGAAGCCAGUGAAGAGAGAAUGGUGUUGGAGCCCCUUCAAAGCCCCAUCCCCAGAAAACUAUCAUUUUACAUGGUUGGUGUUUCCAUGGAAGAUUCUACUCACAAGGCUGUCUUUAUCCUGAAUCGGAGCUCUCCCAGUGCAAAAAGGCUUUCCCCUGGGGGUGUUGGCCCAAAAAAUGUAUGCAAUUGUUUAAAAAUCUGGAUUUCUGUAUUGUAGGAUAAUGGGUAGGGCCAAAAAUAGGCUUAACAAAGGAAAAGCUGGGAAUGAGAUGUACAUGAAACCUUGGAUUAACUAUGUCAUAUUCCUGAGAAUCUAGAAGGCUAUGCACGUGUGAAGGGCUAUGCACAGUCACAGAAAAGACCUCAUAGGCUCUCAGAGACUCUGUGCGAGCAGGAAAAGAAGGCUAGGAGGGAUCCUCAACUGCCUGAGUGUUGAAGGCGUGUCCCGACUCUCUCACAGAGCUCUCAGCAAAGACUGGGAGAUGCAUUGGUUCCAGACAUUUAAAAAAAACCUAUGUCCAAUCAUUCAUAGACCAAUGACCAAGCCUAUCAGUGACAUCAGUGGCCAUAAACAGCGACAUGAGGGGAAUAAUAGAGACAUCACAGAAUUUUUCAGAAAAGUAACUAAACAUGUAAACAACAAUGAACACCCCUGGGGAAGGAGGAGAACCUAUUUUCUAGAGCUUUGGCUUUAUUUUAAAUGUCCAGUUUAGAACAAUAGUAAAAAAAAAAUAUGAGAAUAAGAAGCAAGAAAACAUGGCUCAUGCACAGGAAAAAGGUCAUCAAUAGAAACUGUCAUUAAGGAAACCCAGACAAGGACUCACUAGAAACAAAGUUCAAAUCAGUUAUUAAAUACGUUAAAGAACUAAAGGCAAUAAUAAGUGAUAACUAAUGGAAAGAAUGAAUAUAAUAUCUCAUCAAAUAGAUAAUAUGAAUAAAGAGAGAGACAUUAUAAAAUAGAACCAAACAGAAAUUUUGGCAAAUACCAAGGAGAACAGUUGCUGGAUUGGUAUAUAAGAUUAUAUCCAGUUUUAUAGGAAACUGCCAAACCGUCUUCUAAAGUGGCU
Equus asinus (donkey) is the source of this 1842-nucleotide long non-coding RNA. Lineage: Eukaryota; Metazoa; Chordata; Mammalia; Perissodactyla; Equidae. The record is from Ensembl.